AGGAACCUGCCUUUCAGAGGGGGACAACAGUUGGAAACGACUGCUAAUACCGCAUAAUAUAUGUUUGUCGCAUGGCAGAUAUAUCAAAGAUUUAUCGCUGAGAGAUGGCCUCGCGUCUGAUUAGCUAGUUGGUAGGGUAAUGGCCUACCAAGGCGACGAUCAGUAGCCGGACUGAGAGGUUGGCCGGCCACAUUGGGACUGAGAUACGGCCCAGACUCCUACGGAAGGCAGCAG
Molecule: ribosomal RNA, 234 nt
Filed under: uncultured bacterium
Lineage: Bacteria
Description: partial 16S ribosomal RNA
Rfam family: Bacterial small subunit ribosomal RNA
Source: RNAcentral